CGCGUAGGCGGAAAAAUAAGUCUGUUGUUAAAAUGCGGGGCUUAACCCCGUAGUGCAAUGGAAACUGUUUUUCUUGAGUGCAGGAGAGGAAAGGGGAAUUCCCAGUGUAGCGGUGAAAUGCGUAGAUAUUGGGAGGAACACCAGUGGCGAAGGCGCCUUUCUGGACUGUGUCUGACGCUGAGGCGCGAAAGCCAGGGGAGCGAACG
RNAcentral lists this ribosomal RNA (206 nucleotides) under uncultured bacterium. RNAcentral describes it as "partial 16S ribosomal RNA". It matches the Rfam family "Bacterial small subunit ribosomal RNA", at positions 568 to 774 of the family's 1533-position model. The record is from RNAcentral.